GCCUCGAUAGCUCAGCCCGGUAGAGCGGCUGCCUCGUAAGCAGCAGGCCGCGGGGUCAAAGCCCGCUCGAGGCUCCA
This 77-nucleotide transfer RNA is filed under the name Candidatus Bathyarchaeota archaeon. Its description in RNAcentral is "tRNA-Thr". It matches the Rfam family "tRNA". Rfam says of the family: Transfer RNA (tRNA) molecules are approximately 80 nucleotides in length. Their secondary structure includes four short double-helical elements and three loops (D, anti-codon, and T loops). Lineage: Archaea; Thermoproteati; Candidatus Bathyarchaeota. The record is from RNAcentral. RNAcentral also lists the same sequence under 1 other name.